UCAUGCUCUGCAUGGUUGGUUGAAUGAAUGAACUAAUUAUCCAUCUGGGUGAAAAUUGAGACAAUAUGCAUGGCCAAGCACUUGGACAAAUUUCAGGUGGAACUGAGACUUAAAAGGAAAAAAUGGAAAAUGCCUACUCAACAUGAAGACAGUGAGGAUGAAGACCUUUAUGAUGAUCCAUUUCCACUUAAUGAAUAGCAUCAACCAUGAGCUUGUUGAAGAGGCAUUUGGGGGUAGCGAGGAGCAGAGAGAGAACUUUCCAACCACACUACCUGCGUUUUUGAAAGGCUGACAUGGCUCUUGGUUCUCAAAUCAGCCUCAAAAUAGCCUGAAAAGCCUGGAGUCCACUCACAGAAGAGCAGACCUCCUCCGGUAUGCACCAUGCUGACAGCACCACCUUACACACUCAGGUGUGCAAAAACCGGCGCGGGGGACAUCUCACACCUUAUGUAGAUCAAAUGCUCCUUCCCUGAUCCUCUGUAGGGAACUUCCUUUUCUCUAAUCCUAGAUCUUUUCAAAAAUUCUAACCAAAAUAAAAUUUAAAAAGAAGACAAUGUCUUGUGUCAGCUCAGAAUUAAGGGCAGAUAGAUAGUAAGCUCCUAGCUGUGAUGUCACUAGACUCACACACCCCCAUGAAGGCAGGAGCAAGUACUAUCCUCCCUGGACACAUGCAGACUUAGCAGAGGAAGACUCUGCAGGAAAUGAGGGGCCAUGCCAUGAUUAGGGCUCCCAUGAGCCAACUCCUUGCCUGCACCUCUCACACCGGAGAAAGAACAGUAAAUACUGUGUAGCUGCCUUUGGAAUAAACAUGUGAUAGCAAGUCAGGACCCCCUUGCCACAUACUGCUAGGAACACAGAACACUCACCUGUACAAUCCUCUCAAACAUAUGAGCCAGAGGGAGGUAGGAUAUGGCCACAUCAUCAGGAGUGGGCUCAUAAGCAUGCUAUGUAGGCCAGGGAAGUAAGAGGAGGCAACAUGAGAUUAAUGCCAACUUUCAAUUCCAAUGGAGAUUUUAAAACUACCUCCUCCCAGGACUACCACAGACAGCUGUAUAGGCGGUACACUGUGUAGAUCUGAGAUGCCUUGAACUGCAUAUAGUGUAGAAAUUUGCAGUGAUCCUAAAAGACCAACGCUUGAAAAUGUACAGUCCUCUAAACAAAGAACACGCUGGUGUUUGUCCACACUCCAGCCUUUAACGUGUGUGUGUGUGUGUGUGGGUGUGUGUGUGUGUGUGUGUGAAGGGAGAAAACAUGCAUGAAAAGACAUGGAGAGCUUAAGUUACUUAAGCAUCACUGAGGUC
Molecule: long non-coding RNA, 1301 nt
Filed under: Homo sapiens (human)
Lineage: Eukaryota; Metazoa; Chordata; Mammalia; Primates; Hominidae
Description: HSALNT0360016
Source: RNAcentral